CCUACGGGUGGCUGCAGUGAGGAAUUUUCCGCAAUGGGCGCAAGCCUGACGGAGCGACGCCGCGUGAGGGAUGACGGCCUUCGGGUUGUAAACCUCUUUUAUUAAGGAAAAAGGCAAUCGUGCUAACACCACGGUUGUUUGAUGGUACUUAUUGAAUAAGCCCCGGCUAACUACGUGCCAGCAGCCGCGGUAAUACGUAGGGGGCGAGCGUUGUCCGGAGUUACUGGGCGUAAAGAGCGUGUAGGCGGUUGAAAAAGUCAGGUGUGAAAUUCUUC
RNAcentral lists this ribosomal RNA (275 nucleotides) under uncultured bacterium. RNAcentral's name for it is "partial 16S ribosomal RNA". It matches the Rfam family "Bacterial small subunit ribosomal RNA", at positions 338 to 605 of the family's 1533-position model. The record is from RNAcentral.